UUGGGUUUAAGGGUCCGUAGGCGGAUCUGUAAGUCAGUGGUGAAAUCUCACAGCUUAACUGUGAAACUGCCAUUGAUACUGCAGGUCUUGAGUGUUAUUGAAGUAGCUGGAAUAAGUAGUGUAGCGGUGAAAUGCAUAGAUAUUACUUAGAACACCAAUUGCGAAGGCAGGUUACUAAGCAACAACUGACGCUGAUGGACGAAAGCGUGGGGAGCGAACAGGAUUAGAUACCCUGGUAGUCCACGCCGUAAACGAUGCUAACUCGUUUUUGGGAUGUAAGUUUCAGAGACUAAGCGAAAGUGAUAAGUUAGCCACCUGGGGAGUACGAACGCAAGUUUGAAACUCAAAGGAAUUGACGGGGGCCCGCACAAGCGGUGGAUUAUGUGGUUUAAUUCGAUGAUACGCGAGGAACCUUACCAAGGCUUAAAUGGGAAAUGACAGGCUUAGAAAUAGGCUUUUCUUCGGACAUUUUUCAAGGUGCUGCAUGGUUGUCGUCAGCUCGUGCCGUGAGGUGUUAGGUUAAGUCCUGCAACGAGCGCAACCCCUGUCACUAGUUGCCAUCAUUAAGUUGGGGACUCUAGUGAGACUGCCUACGCAAGUAGAGAGGAAGGUGGGGAUGACGUCAAA
RNAcentral lists this ribosomal RNA (627 nucleotides) under uncultured bacterium. RNAcentral's name for it is "bacterial SSU rRNA". It matches the Rfam family "Bacterial small subunit ribosomal RNA", at positions 554 to 1189 of the family's 1533-position model. The record is from RNAcentral.